Molecule: long non-coding RNA, 1588 nt
Filed under: Sus scrofa (pig)
Lineage: Eukaryota; Metazoa; Chordata; Mammalia; Artiodactyla; Suidae
Description: lncRNA (ENSSSCG00055018543.1)
Source: RNAcentral
UCGAUAAAUAUUUGCUGAAUGAAUGGAUCCACAAAUGGCCAGUUUAUGUGCAACUCCUGCUUCCAUUGGUUGGCCUGACAUUUUCCUUUUAAAUUGUCUUUUUUGUCUAUCCUGUGUUCAGCUCUUAAGGAAGCAGACUGAUUUUGAUAAAACUUGGUACACUGCUCCGUUUAAGUCCCAUCUUGAGUUGGAUUUAUAAUUCUGUCUGUCACCUUGAAUCCAAAGAGUGGCAGAUAAAACUUGACAAAUGAGACUUGGAGCAGAUUUCAGUCCAGUUUGGUACAUGGGUUGAUAUGCCAUUUAAUUGAAAUGUGUGGAGUCUGAAUUUCACGAACCCUUAAACUUUCACAGCUCUAUUUUCCUUUUUAAAGAGACUUCUUUCUUCAAAAAGUAACAUUGGAGACUAGAUCAGAAGUGUCUUGAGAGCAGAAAAUCCACAAAUUCACAAGGAGGUUUUUUUUUUUUUCUUUUUUCUUUUUUUUUUAGGGGGGAGGAUUAUGAGUGAUUUCAUUAUCUUCUUUUUUGGUUUUCUGUAGUAAAGCAAAUUAUUUAUCACACUAAGAAAAUGAUAUAUGUUAAAAUUUUUAUUGUUAGAAUUUAUUCAUAUUAAGAAUACUUUUAAAAUUACAGUUGAUUUACAGUGUUUCUUUAAUAUCUGUUGUACAGCAAAGUGACCCAGUCAUACAUAUAUGUACAUUCUUUUUUUUUAUUCUGUCUUCCAUCAUGUUCCAUCACGAGACUGGAUAUAGUUCCUUGUGUUAUAUAGGACUUAACACGAGAUCUAACCUCUUAACAAUUUUUUUUUUUUUUUUUUUUUGCCGGCAGCUGCAGCUCCGAUUUGACCCCUAGCCUGGGAACCUCUGAGUGCCACGAGUGCGGCUCUAAAAGGACCGCCCCCCCGCAAAAGGAAAUUCGGGGUCUCUUCUCUCUUGGUUUUCCUACGGACCUCCCAUUUUUUUCCUCGGGUGCUCACUUUACCUUCCAUAGGAGCGGUUGCUAAUCCUGCCUGGGAUUACCAACCAUUAACUGCUUUCUAAAAGGACUUAAACCACGUUUCCACAAUUUUAUCCCUUAUGACCCAUUUCGAAUGGCUGUACCGGAGGAGAGCAGGGGCCUGUCACCUACAACCUGUCUUUUUCCUCCGCAAGUGCUCAUGUCAACUGCGGAUCCCCAGGAGCUGAUUCCUCCCCUCCUAAAAUGUCCCUGGAUGGCGUCCCAGCGUAGUUGUCAUCUUGUGAGCAUGAUCGGAGUUGGAAGGUAACAGCAAAGGGAGGAAAAUACUUAUUUUUAUUUCAGAGAACACAAAGUCCUACCCGUGGCUGGUACCAGUGGAAUCCUCCCGGGAAUGACCUCACAAAAGAGCCUGCCCAAGUGAGCCUUCGAAUUCAUCACGAUGGGGUGUUGCCUGAAAAUAGCAUAGCAUUUCGAUCUUGGGGAAGGCAGCGUGGACGGCCACGAACCAGGGUCAAGUCGUCGGGGUAACAUCUGCCUGGUUAGGCAUGGCCUCCGGCACUUUCCAAACAUCUUGUGCUGCCGGUUUAACCGGUAAGAGUUUUGUGUCACCCAGUUCUGAAAAAGAGAAAAAAAA